Molecule: ribosomal RNA, 671 nt
Filed under: Escherichia coli
Lineage: Bacteria; Pseudomonadati; Pseudomonadota; Gammaproteobacteria; Enterobacterales; Enterobacteriaceae
Description: partial 23S ribosomal RNA
Rfam family: Bacterial large subunit ribosomal RNA
Source: RNAcentral
AUAAUGGGUCAGCGACUUAUAUUCUGUAGCAAGGUUAACCGAAUAGGGGAGCCGAAGGGAAACCGAGUCUUAACUGGGCGUUAAGUUGCAGGGUAUAGACCCGAAACCCGGUGAUCUAGCCAUGGGCAGGUUGAAGGUUGGGUAACACUAACUGGAGGACCGAACCGACUAAUGUUGAAAAAUUAGCGGAUGACUUGUGGCUGGGGGUGAAAGGCCAAUCAAACCGGGAGAUAGCUGGUUCUCCCCGAAAGCUAUUUAGGUAGCGCCUCGUGAAUUCAUCUCCGGGGGUAGAGCACUGUUUCGGCAAGGGGGUCAUCCCGACUUACCAACCCGAUGCAAACUGCGAAUACCGGAGAAUGUUAUCACGGGAGACACACGGCGGGUGCUAACGUCCGUCGUGAAGAGGGAAACAACCCAGACCGCCAGCUAAGGUCCCAAAGUCAUGGUUAAGUGGGAAACGAUGUGGGAAGGCCCAGACAGCCAGGAUGUUGGCUUAGAAGCAGCCAUCAUUUAAAGAAAGCGUAAUAGCUCACUGGUCGAGUCGGCCUGCGCGGAAGAUGUAACGGGGCUAAACCAUGCACCGAAGCUGCGGCAGCGACGCUGAUGCGUUGUUGGGUAGGGGAGCGUUCUGUAAGCCUGCGAAGGUGUGCUGUGAGGCAUGCUGGAGGUAU